RNAcentral lists this ribosomal RNA (254 nucleotides) under uncultured bacterium. RNAcentral describes it as "partial 16S ribosomal RNA". It matches the Rfam family "Bacterial small subunit ribosomal RNA", at positions 524 to 776 of the family's 1533-position model. The record is from RNAcentral.
CACGUAGGGGGCGAGCGUUGUCCGGAUUUAUUGGGCGUAAAGAGCUCGUAGGCGGCUCAGUAAGUCAGGUGUGAAACCCCCGGGCUCAACCCGGGGACGCCACCUGAUACUGCUGUGGCUAGAGUCCGGUAGGGGAGCGUGGAAUUCCUGGUGUAGCGGUGAAAUGCGCAGAUAUCAGGAGGAACACCGGUGGCGAAGGCGGUUCUCUGGGCAUUACCUGACGCUGAGGAGCGAAAGUGUGGGGAGCGAACAGG